This 71-nucleotide transfer RNA is filed under the name Stegodyphus mimosarum. It matches the Rfam family "tRNA". Rfam says of the family: Transfer RNA (tRNA) molecules are approximately 80 nucleotides in length. Their secondary structure includes four short double-helical elements and three loops (D, anti-codon, and T loops). Lineage: Eukaryota; Metazoa; Arthropoda; Arachnida; Araneae; Eresidae. The record is from Rfam by way of RNAcentral.
GCCUUCGUAGUGUAACGGUAGCACACUCGGCGCGUAUUCGAGAGGUCUAGGUUCGAGUCCCGUCGAGGACA